AAGGACUUUAAAACAAGGAAAAAUAG
RNAcentral lists this non-coding RNA (26 nucleotides) under Cricetulus griseus (Chinese hamster). Lineage: Eukaryota; Metazoa; Chordata; Mammalia; Rodentia; Cricetidae. The record is from RNAcentral.